GCCGGAGUGGCGAAAUGGCAUACGCAGCGCACUCAAAAUGCGCCGGGGCAACCCAUGGGGGUUCGAAUCCCCCCUCCGGCA
This 81-nucleotide transfer RNA is filed under the name Chloroflexia bacterium. RNAcentral describes it as "tRNA-Leu". It matches the Rfam family "tRNA". From Rfam's summary of the family: Transfer RNA (tRNA) molecules are approximately 80 nucleotides in length. Their secondary structure includes four short double-helical elements and three loops (D, anti-codon, and T loops). RNAcentral also lists the same sequence under 1 other name. Lineage: Bacteria; Bacillati; Chloroflexota; Chloroflexia. The record is from RNAcentral.